UCUUACCCCUUAAGUCUUGCAUCGACACAAUUCAAGCUCUAUUGAGAUUCAAUUUUAAAGCUCUAAUUCAAGUUCUCUUUUUCGAACCUGAUCAAAAUUAUUUGCAAGCACAAUUAAUGCCUCGCAUUGUUGAGUGCAAAAUUUUCGGUUCCCUUUUUGCUUUCAAGAAGUUUGAAGUUCCCUGCAAAAACUGAUUCGAUUUUGAAGCGAUAUACACAUUUUCCUUAUCCACACACCAACAACCUACCAAUGUCGUCUAGAGAUGGAUCCCGAAGAGUUUAUUUGGAACUUUCUUUAGGCUCCUAAGAGGAGGUUUGGGUUGCAAUCCUUAACAUUACUGGUCCCAUAUCCAAUUGGUCAUUUGCUGACAAUAAGCUAUCAAGUCCGAAAACUGCCGAAGGCGGCCCACCUUCCUACAUAAGCCGACUUACCGGAGCCAGUCAUGAGAAUUGGACCUUUUGGUUGGAGGCUAGCAAUUCUGAAGAUUUAAGGGUGGAUGUGGCUGUGCUUGACCAAAUUUUGGUUGCUGAAACAAGGAAGUUGAAGACACUUUUCCCAGCUUGGGCGGAUGUGGUUGCUUAUUCUAGUUAUUUGUCUACCUAUUUUUAGUUUUUAGUGGCAAAUUUUAUUAUUUUGUUCAAUUUCUGAUACUAUUUUAAUGAAUGUAUGGAUGUCACAAUUAGUCGAACAAUCAAUCCAUGUAUCUAGUGUAGUGGAGAUUACAGAUUCAUUCACUAUCAAGAUGAAU
Long non-coding RNA from Gossypium raimondii (Peruvian cotton), 748 nucleotides. RefSeq lists it as uncharacterized. The record is from RefSeq and is a predicted model, not a curated record. The transcript is spliced from 5 exons. NCBI's taxonomy places the organism in Eukaryota, Viridiplantae, Streptophyta, Magnoliopsida, Malvales, Malvaceae.